AAUUAACCGCAUCUACUUCAUUUUCUUCUUCUAUACCGUAAUUUUUCUGAGCUUCUACAUAAUCCAUAUCGUGAGCACCUACACCUAUUUCUUCCUCAAAAGGUGUACCAAGCGGUACCGGAGGCGAAGGCAUACGGGUAUAUCUACUACUUGAACUACCUCUACCGCUAGUAAUUCACUUUUUACUACCACUACCGCUUCCGGGACAAAAAAUUUUAACACCUUUAGUAGCGAGGUUUCUUAAUUUAUCCAUAAUAUAAAUUAAAUUAAACUAAAAAUAUUCAAAAUACACAAAUAUAAUAUAAUUAAAUAUUAAACAAUUAAUACAAUAAAUAAAAAUUAAACGUAAGAGAUGGAACGACAAUACCGAAUUUUGGAAGUAUCCGAAGGUUGCGACUUUAGAAAC
This 406-nucleotide long non-coding RNA is filed under the name Capsicum annuum. RNAcentral's name for it is "long non-coding RNA (CANN_LNC004292)". The record is from RNAcentral. Lineage: Eukaryota; Viridiplantae; Streptophyta; Magnoliopsida; Solanales; Solanaceae.